Gekko japonicus is the source of this 267-nucleotide long non-coding RNA. RefSeq lists it as uncharacterized. The record is from RefSeq and is a predicted model, not a curated record. The transcript has 3 exons. NCBI's taxonomy places the organism in Eukaryota, Metazoa, Chordata, Lepidosauria, Squamata, Gekkonidae.
CUGGCUUCCUGGGUACAGGUCGGAGGAGUUCCCGCGGGCCUGAAAGCUCAAGUGAACCAGAAGGGACUAGAAUACGGUCAUCAGUUUGGGUUGGGAAUGGUGACGUCCAUGCUGAAGAAGAAUCCCAUCCCAGAUAUUUAUGGGUCCCACGACGUGCCACUUUUGGGGGACGUUCAGUUCUCUGUAACAAGGAUCCAGAUCAACGACCUUCAGCUGGGCGACUCCGCCAUCAGCUUCUCCAAGGGGCUGGGUGUGAAUCUUACCGUC